Molecule: ribosomal RNA, 529 nt
Filed under: fungal endophyte
Lineage: Eukaryota; Fungi
Description: eukaryotic LSU rRNA
Rfam family: 5.8S ribosomal RNA (bases 220-373)
Source: RNAcentral
GGAAGUAAAAGUCGUAACAAGGUCUCCGUUGGUGAACCAGCGGAGGGAUCAUUAACGAGUUCCAUUCUCCUUAAUACACCCGUGAACGUUUCUUCAACUGUUCGUUGCUUCGGCGGGCGGCCCCGGGGAGGGGCCGCAGCCCGCAAGGGCGCCCGCCGGCGGCAGCGCAGCACAACUCUUGCGAUUUAGGCCCCUCUGAGAAGACACUAAAUGAGUCAAAACUUUCAACAACGGAUCUCUUGGUUCUGGCAUCGAUGAAGAACGCAGCGAAAUGCGAUAAGUAAUGUGAAUUGCAGAACUCAGCGAAUCAUCGAAUCUUUGAACGCACACUGCGCCCGCCGGCAUUCCGGCGGGCAUGCCUGUUCGAGCGUCAUUUCAACCCUCGAGCCCUGCUCGGUGUUGGGGCCCCGCGGCCGCCGCGGGCCCUGAAAAGAAGUGGCGGGCGCGCCUGGACCCGUAGCGCAGUAAUACACCUCGCUCGCGGCGUCCCGGCGCGUGCCGGCCGUAAAACCCCUUUAUCUCAAGGUGA